RNAcentral lists this transfer RNA (74 nucleotides) under Ignavibacteria bacterium. Its description in RNAcentral is "tRNA-Val". It matches the Rfam family "tRNA". Rfam says of the family: Transfer RNA (tRNA) molecules are approximately 80 nucleotides in length. Their secondary structure includes four short double-helical elements and three loops (D, anti-codon, and T loops). The record is from RNAcentral. Lineage: Bacteria; Pseudomonadati; Ignavibacteriota; Ignavibacteria.
GGACGAUUAGCUCAGCUGGUUAGAGCGUACGGUUCACAUCCGUAAGGUCGUAGGUUCGAGUCCUACAUCGUCCA